AGAGUUUGAUCCUGGCUCAGAUUGAACGCUGGCGGAAUGCUUUACACAUGCAAGUCGAACGGCAGCAUGGGAGCUUGCUCCUGGUGGCGAGUGGCGAACGGGUGAGUAAUAUACCGGAACAUAUCCUAUCGUGGGGGAUAACUAGUCGAAAGACUAGCUAAUACCGCAUACGUCCUGAGGGAGAAAGCGGGGGCUCGCAAGACCUCGCGCGAUUGGAGUGGCCGAUAUCUGAUUAGCUAGAUGGUGAGGUAAAGGCUCACCAUGGCUUCGAUCAGUAGCUGGUCUGAGAGGAUGAUCAGCCACACUGGGACUGAGACACGGACCAGACUCCUACGGGAGGCAGCAGUGAGGAAUAUUGCACAAUGGGGGGAACCCUGAUGCAGCAACGCCGCGUGGAGGAUGACGCAUUUCGGUGUGUAAACUCCUUUUAUAUGUCAAGAAAAUGACGGUAGCAUAUGAAUAAGCACCGGCUAACUCCGUGCCAGCAGCCGCGGUAAUAC
Molecule: ribosomal RNA, 500 nt
Filed under: uncultured Campylobacterota bacterium
Lineage: Bacteria; Pseudomonadati; Campylobacterota
Description: bacterial SSU rRNA
Rfam family: Bacterial small subunit ribosomal RNA
Source: RNAcentral